This 234-nucleotide long non-coding RNA is filed under the name Lathyrus oleraceus (garden pea). RNAcentral describes it as "Pisum sativum (pea) long non-coding RNA (PSAT_LNC025361)". Lineage: Eukaryota; Viridiplantae; Streptophyta; Magnoliopsida; Fabales; Fabaceae. The record is from RNAcentral.
GGGACAGUGACUUGCGACGUGAUUAUCACAUGGCAAAGUUGUGAAGUGAAUUUCACUUCACAAAGUUUUGUCUAUUGUAAUUCAGAAAAGCAGCGAAGGGGACAAUGACUUGCGACGUGAUUAUCACGUGGCAAAGUUGUGAAGUGAAUAUCAUUUCACAACUUUAUUUUUUUUAUAAAAUAAAAAAUUGUAAUUAUUAUUUUACGUUUUAAUAUACUAAGAUUAAUAAUAAAG